GUUAUCUAGGGUGGGACUUGGAAAAGCCAGCUGGACUCUUAUUGUAGUGAGGACCAAAUUGAUUGAAACCCGGAAAUGAGUUUAGAAGGAAACUGAAGGAAAAAGGAAAACCGGCGGCACCUUCGUUGCCCUCAAACAAGGUCAUUUCCUGCAUGGGAUUGAUAGUUUCCUGUUUACUCAAAGAAGUCUGCGUAUACCCUGCUUUCUGGAAUAUACAUGAUAAAUUCUUAUGAGCCUUUGGUCCCAGACUUCUAGUUACUUGUUACCUAAAAGAAUGAAUGAGACGGAGGAGAGGGAAAGCACGGGGUUUAACCCUGCCUUUAGGAAAGGUUAGGGAAACUGAGGCCCUCUGAUGGAAAGCUAAGGAUGACGACCCUGGAUCACAGGAUCCAAGCAGAACCCCAAGGAACAGCUACAAGGCCUCAGAAAACCAGAGAUGAAAGUACCAGAUCAUACUGCAUUUUGCAUUUAUGGAAAGAAGAGGAGAAGGCAGGGCAGAGGUAUAGGAGGGGCUGGUAGAGGCAUAGAAGGGACAAUGUACUUACUAUUGCCCAGUCAGGUAUCCUGUCAGGGUUGAUUGCAAUAAACAGAAACCACUUUGUUUUAAACAGAAAACACCUUAAUACAGAGACAUGGAUGCUUUAAAAAAAAAAAUCAUGGGAAGGACUGGAGGAGCAUGGUCAUUGCUGAUCUCAGAAAUGGCUCCAAGAAUGAGACUACUAAAACUCUCCCACCAGGGAAGUUUCAUAAAGGGGAGGAAUGAAGACUAUUGCUGAAACUGUUGAGUUCAAGAACACAGUGCCCUAGUUGUGAUCCAGGAAUCCGGAAGCUACUGUUGCUGUCACCACCUCAACAUCCUUCAGUGGCCAUGUGAAGGGAUGCUGGAAGACUGCUGCAGAAAAACUCAACAUCCCAUGACCAUGCUGGCCAGCCACAACCAAAGCAGCCAGGAGGUGGCCCCUGCCUCACUUCUAUUUUUCAAGUUUCUUGAGUGUGCAAAUUAUUGAUAGAUCAAAAUUUAUAAAUAAUCCUAGCUGCAAGAAAAGUCUGGGAAAUAUAAUUUUUGGGUUUCCAGCCUCUGCAGUACAGGAAGGCACAUAAAAAGGAUAUAGAAUGUGGGUCAGCCAUAUCCAUCACAAGUGUAUACGUACUACAUUUGAAAAUUUUUCUUGGUAAUAAGUAGAAUGAAUGGACUCUCAGCCAGAAGCAGCACAAGAAUGAAGCAAAAGUCUAUUUCAGACUUUUUCAUUUUAUAAACCAAUAGGGA
Long non-coding RNA from Rhinolophus ferrumequinum (greater horseshoe bat), 1267 nucleotides. RefSeq lists it as uncharacterized. The transcript has 2 exons. The record is from RefSeq and is a predicted model, not a curated record. NCBI's taxonomy places the organism in Eukaryota, Metazoa, Chordata, Mammalia, Chiroptera, Rhinolophidae.